AACAAUUUGUUAUUUAGAUUCGGCGUCUAAUCCUCAGUUUUACUCAUCUAUAUGCCAUAUUUGUAAAUGAAUAUUCUUCUUUUGUUUAUGGGAUCCAACCAAUAAUGGUUCCAUGGUGACACUGGUGUGGUGAAAUAGGAACUUUCUAUGAGUCUAAGAUUUGCUAAGAUUUGCUGACUAUGAGACCUCCACUAAGGACAGAUAUUCAAAGAAGCCCCCAGCCCUCAAGGAGUCCACAUUGUCAUGGGGCACCCAGGAAAAGGAACACUUGGAAAACAUUUUGGUUAGUGGUAUAAAAGAGGUUUCCUCCUGUGCCUUUUCUCCCACCAUCCACAUAUACUUUGUCGUGGACCCCGUUCUUUCCACCUGCUUAGCCUUCCAUACUCCUUCUCUUCAGGGACUCCAAUUUUUCCUGGUGCAUCCUGCCUUCCCAAUUAGGACCUGUCAUUUGAAGUAUACCAGGCUGCCAUUCAAGGUGACUAGACUCCUUUAACCAAGGGGCAAGUACAUGACCCAAUAUAGGCUAACUGAUUCUCCCUCUCGGGAUCUUGAAACUUAGAAGCUUAAGGACGGAAAGUGGUUGGAGGCUUCAUUCCCUUGGCUGUAUCCUGAAGAGACUAUCCAAUCUGCCUUCAUGACUGGUUCUUCUUUUCCUGGUUGUGCAAGAAGCCUGGUUAUUCAAGUGUCCUUGUGAGGUACUUCAUCCCGUAUCUUUCCAAUAAAUUCCUUUAGAAAUGUGGUUUAUGUUGCUUAAAAUGAAUGAAGCUUUGAUAUGGUAUCAUUCAAUAUGAAGAGCUCUCCCUGGCCGUCCUUAUUCUGGUCCUCCCUCCAUCCUUUCCUCGUAUAAAUUUCAUUCUAUUUUCUGUCAUUCUCUCCAUUUUUACUCUAGGGUAUGGUGAUGGCCGUUUGAGGGAGAGUCUUGGCCCAAUGGAGGCAGACCUGGGUUUUCCCUUUAUUACAUUAAUCACAUUGGGUAGGAAUUUGAAGAACUAUCAUCUGUACGAUCAUUUCGAACUAUCAUUUGAAGAACUCUCAUCUACCGCACAUAUGUUACCUCAUUUAAUUAUUAUGCAGGAGAAAAGACAAAAAUGGAAAUAACACAAGAGAGCAGCAUCAUUCUCUCCCGUCCUACUGGGCCUCUCAAGCUUUGCUCCCAGCUGUGGCAACAAGGAACGGCAUGGUAGGGCCAGGUUUUUGGGCGGCACUUCUUUACAGUUAUACAAAUAAAUUUUUAUUUCUACCUGUAACUGAUGGGAAUAUUGACCUAUUUAAAACAAUAUGCAUUAAAUAAGAGGCUUUUAUUAUUUAUUAAAAAUACAAAUCAGAGAAUAUGGUUUUAAAAAAUAUGACAAAUGGCAUUUAGAUUAUUGAGACUUGAAAUGUUCACCAUGGUUCCUGACUCACUUCUAGUAGUCAUGUAGUGGCAGACGUUGUUAACAGAAAG
This 1444-nucleotide long non-coding RNA is filed under the name Ursus thibetanus thibetanus. RNAcentral describes it as "lncRNA (ENSUTTG00000017955.1)". Lineage: Eukaryota; Metazoa; Chordata; Mammalia; Carnivora; Ursidae. The record is from RNAcentral.